CCUACGGGCGGCAGCAGUGGGGAAUAUUGCACAAUGGGCGCAAGCCUGAUGCAGCCAUGCCGCGUGUGUGAAGAAGGCCUUCGGGUUGUAAAGCACUUCCAGCGGGGAGGAAGGCGUUAAGGUUAAUAACCUGGUCGAUUGACGUUACCCGCAGAAGAAGCACCGGCUAACUCCGUGCCAGCAGCCGCGGUAAUACGGAGGGUGCAAGCGUUAAUCGGAAUUACUGGGCGUAAAGCGCACGCAGGCGGUCUGUCAAGUCGGAUGUGAAAUCCCCGGGCUCAACCUGGGAACUGCAUUCGAAACUGGCAGGCUAGAGUCUUGUAGAGGGGGGUAGAAUUCCAGGUGUAGCGGUGAAAUGCGUAGAGAUCUGGAGGAAUACCGGUGGCGAAGGCGGCCCCCUGGACAAAGACUGACGCUCAGGUGCGAAAGCGUGGGGAGCAAACAGGAUUAGAUACCCGGGUAGUC
Molecule: ribosomal RNA, 465 nt
Filed under: uncultured Klebsiella sp.
Lineage: Bacteria; Pseudomonadati; Pseudomonadota; Gammaproteobacteria; Enterobacterales; Enterobacteriaceae
Description: bacterial SSU rRNA
Rfam family: Bacterial small subunit ribosomal RNA
Source: RNAcentral